RNAcentral lists this unclassified non-coding RNA (200 nucleotides) under Pseudopenidiella sp. RNAcentral's name for it is "partial internal transcribed spacer 2". Lineage: Eukaryota; Fungi; Ascomycota. The record is from RNAcentral.
UUAAGUUCAGCGGGUAUCCCCGCCUGAUUCGAGGCCAAACUCGUGAUGACCGGCGGCCUCCGCUGGGCCCGGACAGCGAUCGACUUGCUACGCUGCCGGGGACAGGAAGGCGCCCUAAGUGUUUCGGCGCAUCCGCGGACGGAUGGCGCCAACGCAAGGCAGAGCCUUAGGUUUGAAACGGCGCUCGAACAGGCGUGCCC